This 1243-nucleotide ribosomal RNA is filed under the name metagenome. RNAcentral's name for it is "bacterial SSU rRNA". It matches the Rfam family "Bacterial small subunit ribosomal RNA", at positions 248 to 1521 of the family's 1533-position model. The record is from RNAcentral.
GUUGGUAGGGUAAUGGCCUACCAAGGCGACGACGGGUAGGGGACCUGAGAGGGUGAUCCCCCACAAUGGAACUGAAACACGGUCCAUACACCUACGGGUGGCAGCAGUAGGGAAUAUUGCACAAUGGGUGAAAGCCUGAUGCAGCAACGCCGCGUGUGCGAUGAAGGCCUUCGGGUUGUAAAGCACUUUUCUGAGGGAAGAGGAAGGACGGUACCUCAGGAAUAAGUCUCGGCUAACUACGUGCCAGCAGCCGCGGUAACACGUAGGAGGCAAGCGUUAUCCGGAUUUACUGGGCGUAAAGCGCGUGCAGGCGGUUUGGUAAGUUGGAUGUGAAAGCUCCUGGCUUAACUGGGAGAGGUCGUUCAAUACUGCCAGACUAGAGGACGGUAGAGGAAGGUAGAAUUCCUGGUGUAGUGGUGAAAUGCGUAGAUAUCAGGAGGAAUACCAGAGGCGAAGGCGGCCUUCUGGGCCGUUCCUGACGCUAAGACGCGAAAGCAUGGGUAGCAAACGGGAUUAGAAACCCCGGUAGUCCAUGCCGUAAACGAUGCAAACUUGGUGUUGGUGGUGUAAAAGCCAUCAGUGCCGAAGCUAACGCGAUAAGUUUGCCGCCUGGGGAUUACGGCCGCAAGGUUAAAACUCAAAGGAAUUGACGGGUUUCCGCACAAGCAGCGGAGCGUGUGGUUUAAUUCGACUACGCGAAGAACCUUACCUGGGCUUGACAUAUAGGUGGUAGGGAUCCGAAAGGUGACCGACCCUUCGGGGAGCCUAUACAGGUGCUGCAUGGCUGUCGUCAGCUCGUGUCGUGAGAUGUCCGGUUAAGUCCGGUAACGAGCGCAACCCUUGCCGUAUGUUAUACGUGUCAUACGGGACUGCCGAUAUAAAAUCGGGGGAAGGCGGGGAUGACGUCAAGUCAGCAUGGCCUUUAUGUCCAGGGCUACACACACGCUACAAUGGCCAGUACAAUAGGUUGCAAGGCCGCGAGGCGGAGCCAAUCCUCAAAGCUGGUCUCAGUUCGGAUUGCAGGCUGUAACUCGCCUGCAUGAAGCCGGAGUUGCUAGUAAACGCACGUCAGCACAGUGCGUUGAAUACGUUCCCGGGAAUUGUACACACCGCCCGUCACGUCAUGGAAGCUGGAAACACCUAAAGUCGGUAUCCUAACCCUAACGGGAGGGAGCUGCCAAAGGUGGGGCUGGUAACUGGGACGAAGUCGUAACAAGGUAGGUGUACCGGAAGGUGCGCCUGG